Molecule: ribosomal RNA, 465 nt
Filed under: uncultured Actinomycetes bacterium
Lineage: Bacteria; Bacillati; Actinomycetota; Actinomycetes
Description: bacterial SSU rRNA
Rfam family: Bacterial small subunit ribosomal RNA
Source: RNAcentral
GACGAACGCUGGAGGCGUGCUUAACACAUGCAAGUCGAACGAUGAAGUGGAGCUUGCUCCACGGAUUAGUGGCGAACGGGUGAGUAACACGUGAAUAACCUGCCCUCAAUUUCGGAAUAACCCAGGGAAACCUGGGCUAAUACCGGAUAAGUAAACCUGUGGCAUCACAUGGUUUUGGAAAGUUUUUCGAUUGAGGAUGGAUUCGCGGCCUAUCAGCUUGUUGGUGAGGUAAUGGCUCACCAGGGCGACGACGGGUAGCCGGCCUGAGAGGGUGAACGGCCACACUGGGACUGAGACACGGCCCAGACUCCUACGGGAGGCAGCAGUGGGGAAUAUUGCGCAAUGGACGAAAGUCUGACGCAGCGACGCCUCGUGAGGGACGAAGGUCUUCGGAUUGUAAACCUCUUUCAGCAGGGACGAAGCGAAAGUGACGGUACCUGCAGAAGAAGCACCGGCUAACUAUGU